GACGAACGCUGGCGGCGUGCUUAACACAUGCAAGUCGAACGGAAAGGCCCUGCUUUUGUGGGGUGCUCGAGUGGCGAACGGGUGAGUAACACGUGAGUAACCUGCCCUUGACUUUGGUAUAACUUCAGGAAACUGGGGCUAAUACCGGAUAGGAGCUCCUGCUGCAUGGUGGGGGUUGGAAAGUUUCGGCGGUUGGGGAUGGACUCGCGGCUUAUCAGCUUGUUGGUGGGGUAGUGGCUUACCAAGGCUUUGACGGGUAGCCGGCCUGAGAGGGUGACCGGCCACAUUGGGACUGAGAUACGGCCCAGACUCCUACGGGAGGCAGCAGUGGGGAAUAUUGCACAAUGGGCGGAAGCCUGAUGCAGCAACGCCGCGUGCGGGAUGACGGCCUUCGGGUUGUAAAACGCUUUCGCCUGUGACGAAGCGUGAGUGACGGUAAUGGGUAAAGAAGCACCGGCUAACUACGUG
This 468-nucleotide ribosomal RNA is filed under the name uncultured bacterium. RNAcentral's name for it is "partial 16S ribosomal RNA". It matches the Rfam family "Bacterial small subunit ribosomal RNA", at positions 28 to 507 of the family's 1533-position model. The record is from RNAcentral.